This 335-nucleotide unclassified non-coding RNA is filed under the name soil metagenome. RNAcentral describes it as "partial contains 5.8S ribosomal RNA, internal transcribed spacer 2, and large subunit ribosomal RNA". The stretch from base 1 to 120 matches the Rfam family "5.8S ribosomal RNA", at positions 35 to 154 of the family's 154-position model. The record is from RNAcentral.
GAUGAAGAACGCAGCGAAAUGCGAUAAGUAAUGUGAAUUGCAGAAUUCAGUGAAUCAUCGAAUCUUUGAACGCACAUUGCGCCCGCCAGUAUUCUGGCGGGCAUGCCUGUUCGAGCGUCAUUUCAACCAUCAAGCCCCCGGCUUGUGUUGGGGACCUGCGGCUGCCGCAGGCCCUGAAAACCAGUGGCGGGCUCGCUAGUCACUCCGAGCGUAGUAAUACAUCUCGCUCUGGGCGUGCUGCGGGUUCCGGCCGUUAAACCACCUUCAUAACCCAAGGUUGACCUCGGAUCAGGUAGGAAGACCCGCUGAACUUAAGCAUAUCAAUAAGCGGAGGA